Oreochromis niloticus (Nile tilapia) is the source of this 2712-nucleotide non-coding RNA. The record is from the annotation of a RefSeq genome assembly. NCBI's taxonomy places the organism in Eukaryota, Metazoa, Chordata, Actinopteri, Cichliformes, Cichlidae.
GUAACAUCUGAGACACCAUGGAUCAGCAGCGUAUUACAAACAUGACGAUUAAACUCAUGGUUCUUGCUUUGUACUGUAAAGGUUCCUUAGCUGAGAUCACCAGAGAGCUCAGUGUCUUAGUGGGCAAUGAGGUAACGCUCAGCUGCAUGUUCGACACACCGCAUAAGCUAGUGGAGUGGAGUGCUCUUAGUAUUGAGUGGAACAUGGUGGACAAACAUGCAAAGAAGAGCAUGGUGUACACGCUGGAAGAUGGAAGAGCUCAAGUGUACAAAGAAGGCUCUGUGGUGAAUGAAACGUGCCUGCGGCAGAGUGAUGCGUCCCUGCAGCUUCAUAAUGUCACUGUAGGAGAUGAAGGGCUGUACACUUGCAGAGUCAUCAACCCUCUGAUCUACACAGAGUCCACUGCUCUGAAAGUGCUCGCUCAGCCUUCAGUGUUGCUCCCAGAAAAGGCAACAGUGAGAGAAGGACAGGAGAAAACCAUACAGUGUGAUGUAACAGGUUUCUACCCAGAGAAAGUGGCUGUGACGUGGCUGAUCCAAAAUGGCACCCAGACCAUCCAUGCAGGGUUGGGCCAACUGUCCCGUGUCUGCAAUGAGCUGGCUGUACACAACCCAGAUGGCACCUACAGCAUUCGUAGUGGCAUCACGCUGCACUCCUCAGUACUAAGGGGUGGAGAGAUACAUGUCAUCUGCCAAGUUGAGCACCAGACCUACAAUGGUCUCUACAACCGAUCUGUAACACUGGCUGUUCAAGCUCCACCAGAGCUGCUUCACAGUACAGCCACUGUGAUAGCUGUUACAAGUGUAAUAACUUUGCUACUGGUCACCUGUGUUACUGGAGGAUCUUUAUAUCUCUACAGAUAUUUUUACAAAGUUCCAUUUAAUGUUUCGGAAAUCAGUCAGCCCAUCAUAAUAUACGCUCAGGUACCCACAGAACUGAUGUGCACCAUUCAGGGAUCCACAAGGUGGGAGCUCAAAGUGAAAUGGUUUAAACUAAGAACCAGUCCAGACUCAGUGAUUCAGUCAGAGUCAGGUUCUUCAGAUUCCCUGCUGGAGACUGAGGAUCUCAGCGAACAGGCUUGUCUGCAGUCAGAUGGCAAAAAUCACACAUCUGUCCUGCCUGUAUUUCUGACUGUUACUGACGACCAAACCAAAUACCAGUGUGUAGUGUGGUGCAAGGACAGGAGCUUCAGAAGGGAGACCACAGUCAAGGUUAAAGGAAGCCCUCCUGAUGUGAUGUUCAUCGACCAUGAACCUCAGUGUCCUAAAGUGAAUGAAGAGUGUACUUUGCACCUGCACAUAAAAGACUUUUGUCCUGAGGAGGUGUUGGUGACAUGGACUAAAGAUGGAGACAGGGUUGUUUCUGGUGUCUUCAAUACUCCCCCCAGCCUGAACGUCAACGGCCUGUACUCCAUGUUCAGUUUCCUCAAACUCAAUCCCACCAAGAAUGACCAAGGCUGCACAUUCAAAUGCCAGGUGGUGCAUAGUGCUCAGAAGGAGCCUGAGGAAAGGAUCUUCAUAUUUCCAAAACUCUGCCUAACAGACAGCUGUUGAUGUCUAAACCUACUUUGGAUCAUUUCACAUCUGGUGUCACUGUUCUGGGUCAGUUUGACCCAGCUUUUUCUGUUUCUGUUUUGGGGUUUUUCUAAAUUAUGAUUUGUUUGGAUUUUUGAGUUGUGCUGGUUUGAUUUUGUAUUAAGGGUUAUUCUUGGUUUUGUUCUCUUGAUGUUAUUUGUUGUUCUGGUCUCUAGUUUAAGUCACUGUCUUCUCUGUUUCAAGUGUUAUAUUCUUGCAGUCUAUCUCUCAGUGUCAAGUUUGCGUUUUUGUGAUUUGUUUCGUAUUUCCUGUUUUUUUUGUUUUGAUAGUCCCAGUCCUGUGUCAGUAUAUUCAGUUUUACCUGCCCCUGUCUCGUUAGCCCUAAUCUCACCCAGCUGUGCCUCCCUCCUGUUUCCCAUUCCCUGAUUACUCCCUUGUGUAUAUAAGCCCUGUGUUUGCCUUUGCUCUUUGUCGCGUCAGUCCUUAGUUCCUCUGUCCAGAGUUUUGUUUUUUGGUGAGUUUAAUCUUCUAAGAGGUUUUUCCCAGCAAUAAAGCUGCGCUUUGAGUUUUACCUCCGUGUUUGAGUCCUGUUUUUGAGUCCACCUUUCCUGCCUGCCUGCCACACAGCCCACCAUGACAUCUGGGGAGUAAAUCAUUUCAGUUUUAAUUCUGCAGUUCUGCUGACUACAAAACUGUAAAACAGAAAACAAAAAAAUUGAAAUGCUUUAGUGUAAUAUCUGCAAAUUUUAUCCUGCCUGAGUAUCACUUUAGGUUAAACAGGCUGGGUUAUCCACAUUUAAGACUGCUAUAAACCUUUUCUGACAAUCUUAAAGACCACUUCGUGUCCUCUGGAUAAUACAAUAGUCAUUUCAUUAUUAUUUUUUGUUUUUAACACACACAAUAUUGUAUUUCAUAUAGUUAACAGUGUCAGUUAACUAUUAAGCUAUUAAACCAACUCUUCUAAGGUGAUGCUAGAGGCUCUACCUUUUAAGCUACUUGCAGAGUUAGUGCAGUCAGUGCACACGCUGCUUUGAAUUUACUCUAAGUUUUGAGUAACCUUGGUUUCAUUGCUAUAUGUUCCUAUAUGUAUUCUAAUUGCUGCAUGUUUUUUGUUCUAUUUUGUUUGUGCAGAACAUUUUUAUUUGUAUAACAAAUUGUAGUUUGUAGUUGCAAACAA